ACGAAAACGAAAGAGCGGGAUGCGGUUCCACUUGCGCCGCUGCGGGCUAGGAGCAGGGCAGGGCAGGGCAGGGGCCGGCCCCGUGGGAGCGCAGCACCGGGGCGCUGCCCGCUCGCUAGCCUGGGAGGCGUGGGUCCUGCACACAGCCUCCAGCCGGCGGACAGUCCCUCUGGCGACCUGGCCUUGGCUCCCACUGGGGCAGAGCCGGGAUUCUGCAGGAUCUGAGGAUCUAAGGGGACCCCUAGUCCUGAACUCGGAACCAACUGCGUCUCUCACGGUCCCGAGCCCAGGACCAGGAAGGACCCUGUGAGUCUCCGCACAUAGGAUAGGAAGGGGCCUCGCAUGGUGCCUCUCCCUUUAGGGCAAAUGGUUGUUCCAGAAAAAAUGCAGCAACACCUGAACUCUUCUAAAGAAAAAGAAGACAAAAUGAUCUAGUGCAUCUCUGCCAUCCUGUU
This 455-nucleotide long non-coding RNA is filed under the name Homo sapiens (human). RNAcentral describes it as "HSALNT0105584". Lineage: Eukaryota; Metazoa; Chordata; Mammalia; Primates; Hominidae. The record is from RNAcentral.